RNAcentral lists this ribosomal RNA (460 nucleotides) under Gemella morbillorum. RNAcentral describes it as "bacterial SSU rRNA". It matches the Rfam family "Bacterial small subunit ribosomal RNA", at positions 28 to 475 of the family's 1533-position model. Lineage: Bacteria; Bacillati; Bacillota; Bacilli; Caryophanales; Gemellaceae. The record is from RNAcentral.
GACGAACGCUGGCGGCGUGCCUAAUACAUGCAAGUCGAGCGAAGUUUUUCUGGUGCUUGCACUAGAAAAACUUAGCGGCGAACGGGUGAGUAACACGUAAAGAACCUGCCUCAUAGACUGGGACAACUAUUGGAAACGAUAGCUAAUACCGGAUAACAAUAUUUUUCGCAUGAAAGAUACUUAAAAGUUGGUUAUGCUAACACUAUGAGAUGGCUUUGCGGUGCAUUAGCUAGUUGGUGGGGUAAAGGCCCACCAAGGCGACGAUGCAUAGCCGACCUGAGAGGGUGAUCGGCCACACUGGGACUGAGACACGGCCCAGACUCCUACGGGAGGCAGCAGUAGGGAAUCUUCCGCAAUGGGCGAAAGCCUGACGGAGCAACGCCGCGUGAGUGAAGAAGGAUUUCGGUUCGUAAAGCUCUGUUGUUAGGGAAGAAUGGAUAUGUAGUAACUAUACAUAUAA